GCCUCAGUAGCUCAGCUGGUAGAGCAAGUGGCUGUUAACCACUGGGUCGUUGGUUCGAGUCCAGCCUGGGGCG
Molecule: transfer RNA, 73 nt
Filed under: Candidatus Zixiibacteriota bacterium
Lineage: Bacteria; Pseudomonadati; Candidatus Zixiibacteriota
Description: candidate division Zixibacteria bacterium tRNA-Asn
Rfam family: tRNA
About the family: Transfer RNA (tRNA) molecules are approximately 80 nucleotides in length. Their secondary structure includes four short double-helical elements and three loops (D, anti-codon, and T loops). Further hydrogen bonds mediate the characteristic L-shaped molecular structure. tRNAs have two regions of fundamental functional importance: the anti-codon, which is responsible for specific mRNA codon recognition, and the 3' end, to which the tRNAs corresponding amino acid is attached (by aminoacyl-tRNA synthetases). tRNAs cope with the degeneracy of the genetic code in two manners: having more than one tRNA (with a specific anti-codon) for a particular amino acid; and 'wobble' base-pairing, i.e. permitting non-standard base-pairing at the 3rd anti-codon position.
Source: RNAcentral